This is a non-coding RNA of Gossypium raimondii (Peruvian cotton), 107 nucleotides long. Lineage: Eukaryota; Viridiplantae; Streptophyta; Magnoliopsida; Malvales; Malvaceae. The record is from Rfam.
AUUCCGUGAUGAGGGCAGUUCGGUAAUAAUUCUUUGUACCUUUGCCAUGCCUCAUACAAUGACUCAUCAUUCAUUUUUUGGAAAGCAGUGAUCUUGUUCCUCAACUU